UCUGGGUGAUCGUCGGGCGCGGGCUCGCGCCUUUGCAGCGCGUGACGCGCGCGCUCGACACGCGCCAUCCCGAG
Molecule: transfer RNA, 74 nt
Filed under: Caballeronia calidae
Lineage: Bacteria; Pseudomonadati; Pseudomonadota; Betaproteobacteria; Burkholderiales; Burkholderiaceae
Description: tRNA-Gln
Source: RNAcentral